RNAcentral lists this ribosomal RNA (421 nucleotides) under Fusobacteriota bacterium. Its description in RNAcentral is "Fusobacteria bacterium partial 16S ribosomal RNA". It matches the Rfam family "Bacterial small subunit ribosomal RNA", at positions 355 to 776 of the family's 1533-position model. The record is from RNAcentral. Lineage: Bacteria; Fusobacteriati; Fusobacteriota.
UGGGGAAUAUUGCACAAUGGACGGAAGUUUGAUGCAGCGACGCCGCGUGGAGGGUGUAGGCCUUCGGGUUGUGAACUCCUUUUUCUCGCGAAAAAGGCACAGAUUUGGCUGUGUUGAUGGUAGUGGGGGAAGAAGCGCCGGCUAACUACGUGCCAGCAGCCGCGGUAAUACGUAGGGUGCGAGCGUUGUCCGGAUUUAUUGGGCGUAUAGAGCUCGUAGGUGGUUCGUCCCGUCUGUCGUGAAAGCCAGCAGCUUAACUGUUGGUCUGCGGUGGGUACUGGCGGGCUUGAGUACGGUAGCGGUGACUGGAAUUCCUGGUGUAGCUGUGGAAUGCGCAGAUAUCAGGAGGUACACCGAUGGCGAAGGCAGGUCACUGGGCCGUUACUGACACUGAGGAGCGAAAACGUGGGGAGCGAACAGG